GAUGAACGCUGGCGGCGUGCCUAAUACAUGCAAGUCGAGCGAAUGGAUUAAGAGCUUGCUCUUAUGAAGUUAGCGGCGGACGGGUGAGUAACACGUGGGUAACCUGCCCAUAAGACUGGGAUAACUCCGGGAAACCGGGGCUAAUACCGGAUAACAUUUUGAACCGCAUGGUUCGAAAUUGAAAGGCGGCUUCGGCUGUCACUUAUGGAUGGACCCGCGUCGCAUUAGCUAGUUGGUGAGGUAACGGCUCACCAAGGCAACGGUGCGUAGCCGACCUGAGAGGUGCAUCGGCCACACUGGGACUGGUACACGGACCAGACUCCUACAGGAGGCAGCAGUAAGGAAUCUUCCGCAAUGGACGAAAGUCUGACGGAGCAACGCCGCGUGAGUGAUGAAGGCUUUCGGGUCGUAAAACUCCGUUGUUAGGGAAGAACAAGUGCUAGUUGAAUAAGCUGGCACCUUGACGGUACCUAACCAGAAAGCCACGGCUAACUACGUGCCAGCCGCCGCGGUAA
This 515-nucleotide ribosomal RNA is filed under the name uncultured bacterium. RNAcentral describes it as "partial 16S ribosomal RNA". It matches the Rfam family "Bacterial small subunit ribosomal RNA", at positions 28 to 523 of the family's 1533-position model. The record is from RNAcentral.